GGGCCGUUCACCGUCAGACGUCACACGGGAGCUGGCUCGAGUUCUGGAUAGCGACCUGUUUGUAAAGAGAGAGCUCCUGCUUUGGAUUUCUGUUCUCUUUGGAAAAUAUAGUGAUGCCCGGAAGUAGGGGAGCGCGCUAGUUCUUCAGACCUCGAAGGUUUUUCUACCUCUUCAUACGUCUUCAACGUGCUUGGCGCCUUCUUCUGUUUCGCACUCGAAAAAGGGACGAAGCGCAGUCAAGAGCAAAGAGCGGCGAGGACGACGGAGUUCGAAAGACGAGACCGGCGGGCAAUUCUGAACUUUCUAAACCGCAAAGGUGCAGUGAUCUAGAGAGAAAAACAAGAUAGCGAACAAGGGGAGAUGAGCAGAGCCAUGCGAGCUACGUGGAUCCUCCAGAACAGCAACCUACACAUAUGGGAGUCUAUCGCGUUUGGGCGUCGCUGCAUUGUCCUGGGAGGAGGCAUCAAUUCUGAGGCAGAAUCAUUUUACCAUGCAGCAGCAGUUCAGCGAGACUGUACUCGAGUUAUGAAGGCGCAAAGAAAACCGAAUAUGCAACUCUGCUCGUGGAAAUCGAAAGAGCUGCCCCAUGUCGUCCUUUAUACUAAACGUGGAGUUGGUAACCGUUGUCACAACACGAUCUGGCUGUUUGACAACGACUUCCAGAUGCACGGUAUAUAUAUAUAUAUAUAUAUAUAUAUAUAUAUGUAUAUAUGCGGCGUAAAAAAUAUGCGAACAGAGACUCUUGCUACGUUAGCGCGGGUGCUCCCUUUCGAUUCUUUAGUCCGCGAACGCAUAGUUCUGUGGUGGCACAGCGACGGGAAGCUUUGUUCUCUAAUUAAGAGGCGUCGCCGAUGACGGACGCGCGUG
Molecule: long non-coding RNA, 867 nt
Filed under: Toxoplasma gondii VEG
Lineage: Eukaryota; Apicomplexa; Conoidasida; Eucoccidiorida; Sarcocystidae
Source: RNAcentral